Long non-coding RNA from Archocentrus centrarchus (flier cichlid), 373 nucleotides. RefSeq lists it as uncharacterized. The transcript is spliced from 4 exons. NCBI's taxonomy places the organism in Eukaryota, Metazoa, Chordata, Actinopteri, Cichliformes, Cichlidae. The record is from RefSeq and is a predicted model, not a curated record.
CACAAAAUGUGUGGAAAAGCAUAACCAGCGUCAGAAAAUCACUAAGGCUUUCUUCAUUGACUCGUAUGAGAUGACCAACAUCUGGCAGAAGAAGACAUCAAAACUGAAGUGCAAACCAGAAACAUUUGAUAUUAUGUUGGGGGCAGUUCAUGAACCUGGACACUGGAUAUUUGCAGCUAUUUAUCCAAAACAAAAAAGGAGCAUUGUACUUGAUUCCAGUGGCCAUGCUUCUUCAAAACUUAAGAACUGUUUGGAAUCCACCAGGGCAUUCAUGAGGAAGCUUGGAAAUCCAAAUGUUUUACGGUGGAAAGCUGAAACACUGCCACAUUCUUCACAGACAGACUGCAGUUCUUGUGGUGUAUUUGUUAUGAAA